Molecule: ribosomal RNA, 253 nt
Filed under: uncultured bacterium
Lineage: Bacteria
Description: partial 16S ribosomal RNA
Rfam family: Bacterial small subunit ribosomal RNA
Source: RNAcentral
UACCGAGGGUGCCAGCGUUAUUCGGAAUUAUUGGGCGUAAAGCGCGUGUAGGCGGCCUUGGGAGUCGGCCGUGAAAUCCCUCGGCUUAACUGAGGACGUGCGGAAGAAACUGCAAGGCUCGAGUCCGGGAGAGGGGGGUGGAAUUCCCAGUGUAGCGGUGAAAUGCGUAGAUAUUGGGAGGAACACCGGUGGCGAAGGCGGCCCCCUGGACCGGUACUGACGCUGAGGCGCGAAAGCGUGGGUAGCAAACGGG